CCAUAGCACUUAUUAAAUUGUGUUGAGUGCUUAGUUUUCUGUCUUAUUAGAAUGGAAGUUCCAUGUCAAUAGGACAUGUGGAAAUAUCCACAUAUUUCCCUUCCUCUGGCACUCUACAUGGACAAAGCUGGGAUUGCUUUUUGGCUAGUAUAAUAUUUCCAGAAUCCCUGAGGCUUGCUUUUAAAUCAGCAUAAGCUGGUUUUGUGUCUCACUUUUGUGUUGUACAAUUACAGAAAGCAGCAAAUACUUAUGUUGGCAUGUCCUGUCAUGACAUGAGCCAAAAGCUGUCAUCCUCAUAGAUUCCCUGUCUAAGGGAAUAGUCGCCCUAUCAGCAUUUGAAAGAAACACUCCUGAAACCUUUUGGAGACUCCAAAGUUAUGUACUGUCAUUUGAUGGAUAAGUGACUCAAAAUUCACAUUGAUCACAUCAUUUCAAAUUCUUAC
Molecule: long non-coding RNA, 443 nt
Filed under: Pan troglodytes (chimpanzee)
Lineage: Eukaryota; Metazoa; Chordata; Mammalia; Primates; Hominidae
Description: long non-coding RNA NONPTRT004875
Source: RNAcentral